UAGUUCACGCAGAGAUUUACGUGGUAAC
Molecule: small RNA, 28 nt
Filed under: Bombyx mori (domestic silkworm)
Lineage: Eukaryota; Metazoa; Arthropoda; Insecta; Lepidoptera; Bombycidae
Description: ovarian small RNA-23131
Source: RNAcentral